RNAcentral lists this long non-coding RNA (1083 nucleotides) under Glycine max (soybean). RNAcentral describes it as "long non-coding RNA (GMAX_LNC002689)". The record is from RNAcentral. Lineage: Eukaryota; Viridiplantae; Streptophyta; Magnoliopsida; Fabales; Fabaceae.
UCCAGAUGUCUAGAAAAUUCUGUAUAAAGUUCAGCUCAAAAUUCGCAGUGACCAAUUCCCAAUAAUGUUUACAAGUUUGUAUGUUCAAGUUGCCAGCACCAGCGAUUUCAGACUUCGAAUUUUUUUAUGCCUGGUAUAUUGAUUGCCUUAGUCUUACUUUCAACCUUCCUAUAUAUGUUGAACUCACUAGGCUUGUUUACCAAAGUAUUAGGUGUUCAAUAUUCACUUAGGAUCAAAAUUUCAGCCAGUAAUUCAAUCACCAAAACUCAAAUUCACAAUAGACACAAUCAUAAGGAAACCUAAAAGUUCAAGAAAAGGUUCACAAUCAAAGACUCUCUAAGAAUUUUUCAUGAACAUGUUAAGGACUAAUUAACAUGCAAGAUUUGACUCAACUCAAAUAAUAGGCUAAAAAAAUUUCAUACACUCAUGAACAAACGAGUUAGACAAAGAAACAAGAAAAUAAAAUUCAGCAUAACAUAAUGAAUCUUAUGUGACAAGUUUCAUGACUGGACAUGACUUCUAUGACAAAACUACAAUGAGUGAACAUGUCACUCUAGAUUUUUGAGGUUUUCUUCUAAUAUAUUGUUUUUGUAAGAAUUUUAGGGUUUAGGUUUCAGCCACAAAAAUAGCAAGACAAAACUCAACACAAUUCAUGGUUUAAGAACAAGAACAAGAAAUUUGCACCGUAGAAAAUCAAAUCUAGCUUCUAUAGCAAGUUUAAUCAGUGAAAAUUCUUAAAAAAUCAUGUUAAAAACAUUUAGCACAAGACAUGUGAGGAGAUACAUGGAGAAAAAUAAAGAAACAACAAUGGAGGAGAAGGUAAAGCUGAAAAUUAAUGGAGGUUUAAGGAGCACCUACUUGAAGCUCUUGUGCUCUAAUACCACUUGAUAGAAGCUUGCUUGAGAAACAUCUAUGGAGGCUGGAUCUUUGAGCUUCAAUGAGGUCCUUCAAUGGUGAUUUUCAACCAUGGAGAUGCAGCGGAAGAUAAAGGAGAAGAGGUGAGAGAAGGCGCCAUCCACUAGGGAAUAAGCCAUGAAAGGAAGAGUUUCACCAUCAAGAGAGUGUCUUGGGUAAAAAACUUAG